Long non-coding RNA from Apis dorsata (giant honeybee), 522 nucleotides. RefSeq lists it as uncharacterized. NCBI's taxonomy places the organism in Eukaryota, Metazoa, Arthropoda, Insecta, Hymenoptera, Apidae. The transcript is spliced from 3 exons. The record is from RefSeq and is a predicted model, not a curated record.
UAUUUCCUUUUGAUAGUAAUUUGAGCAAUGGUAGACAAACUAUCAAUCUUAUACUUGACAAACUACUUUCAGUAAUGGAAAAUUUAUGUCAAUAUUUAAGAAACAACUUCAACUUCCUUUGCAUCGGAGAAAAAGUUUUUCAAAAAUACAGAUUUCAUCAAAUACAUCGAGAAGUAUGUAAAAAGUAUAAAAGGAAAUAGGUUAGGUAUAAGUUAAAAAAUACAAAACGUACACUACUUACUAGACAAAAGAAGAAUGGCUUUUGAAAAUAAAAAUUCUAUUCAUAAAAAAAAAUUAUUUUAUCGCAAGAAAAUAUAUUUUUAUUUUCAUAAUUGCAAUCAAAUAAUGAAUAUAUUAUGCAUAUCGAUUUCAAAUUCAUUAUUCUUGAAUGAAACAUACCGAUCUGCUGACAGUUGUGCAACUAGAUUGCAUAAAAUUCAACGAUACUGUGAAAUAUGAUACAUAAAAUGAAAGAAACUAUAUGCCAAUCAUAUUUUAUUUUGAAUUCUAUCAAUUAAGAGA